RNAcentral lists this ribosomal RNA (253 nucleotides) under uncultured bacterium. Its description in RNAcentral is "partial 16S ribosomal RNA". It matches the Rfam family "Bacterial small subunit ribosomal RNA", at positions 524 to 776 of the family's 1533-position model. The record is from RNAcentral.
UACGUAGGGUGCAAGCGUUAAUCGGAAUUACUGGGCGUAAAGCGUGCGCAGGCGGUUCUGUAAGUCUGUUGUGAAAUCCCCGGGCUCAACCCGGGAACUGCGUCCGAUACUGGAGGGCUCGAAUCCGGGAGAGGGAUGUGGAAUUCCAGGUGUAGCGGUGAAAUGCGUAGAUAUCUGGAGGAACACCGGUGGCGAAGGCGGCAUCCUGGACCGGUAUUGACGCUGAGGCGCGAAAGCCAGGGGAGCAAACGGG